CCUACGGGUGGCAGCAGUGAGGAAUAUUGGUCAAUGGGCGCGAGCCUGAACCAGCCAAGUCGCGUGAGGGAUGAAGGUUCUAUGGAUUGUAAACCUCUUUUAUAAGGGAAUAAAGUGUGGGACGUGUCCUAUUUUGUAUGUGCUUUAUGAAUAAGGAUCGGCUAACUCCGUGCCAGCAGCCGCGGUAAUACGGAGGAUCCGAGCGUUAUCCGGAUUUAUUGGGUUUAAAGGGUGCGUAGACGGGCUUUUAAGUCAGCGGUGAAAGUCUGCGGCUCAACCGUAGAAUUGCCGUUGAUACUGGGAGCCUUGAGUAUAGUUGAGGUAGGCGGAAUGCGUGGUGUAGCGGUGAAAUGCUUAGAUAUCACGCAGAACCCCGAUUGCGAAGGCAGCCUACCAAACCGUGACUGACACUGAUGCACGAAAGCGUGGGGAUCAAACAGGAUUAGAUACCCGGUAGUC
RNAcentral lists this ribosomal RNA (459 nucleotides) under uncultured bacterium. RNAcentral's name for it is "partial 16S ribosomal RNA". It matches the Rfam family "Bacterial small subunit ribosomal RNA", at positions 338 to 795 of the family's 1533-position model. The record is from RNAcentral.